RNAcentral lists this ribosomal RNA (507 nucleotides) under uncultured bacterium. RNAcentral describes it as "bacterial SSU rRNA". It matches the Rfam family "Bacterial small subunit ribosomal RNA", at positions 524 to 1034 of the family's 1533-position model. The record is from RNAcentral.
UACGUAGGGGGCGAGCGUUGUCCGGAUUUACUGGGCGUAAAGGGUGAGUAGGCGGUUAUAUAUGUCAGGUGUAAAAAGCUAUGGCUUAACCAUAGUAAGCACUUGAAACUGUAUGACUUGAGUGCAGGAGAGGUAAGCGGAAUUCCUAGUGUAGCGGUGAAAUGCGUAGAUAUUAGGAGGAACACCGGUGGCGAAGGCGGCUUACUGGACUGUAACUGACGCUGAGUCACGAAAGCGUGGGUAGCAAACAGGAUUAGAUACCCUGGUAGUCCACGCUGUAAACGAUGAGUGCUAGGUGUUGGGUAGCGAUAUUCAGUGCCGGAGUAAACACAAUAAGCACUCCGCCUGGGGAGUACGGUCGCAAGACUGAAACUCAAAGGAAUUGACGGGGACCCGCACAAGCAGCGGAGCAUGUGGUUUAAUUCGAAGCAACGCGAAGAACCUUACCAAGGCUUGACAUCCCCUUGACAGAUACAGAGAUGUAUCCUCCCCUUCGGGGGCAAGGGA